GUAUGUUGAAUUAACGUCAUGGCUUCACCCAAUAUUCAACAUGUUUGGUUACCAUGGUAUCGGAGGACUCGGCGCACGCGCAGCGCUUCACUUCACUUAAUUACGAACACCUGACCUGCAGUGCAGCAGAAUUCAGAGAGACGCACUAACUUGCACAGCAUUGAAUGGAAAAGGCUUUUUCCAUGUCCAGUUGAGGGCAUCAAGAACACGCAGAUGGCCUAAACCUGUGUCAGACUGGACAGACUGCUGAUCUGCUACUCAACGCCAAGGCUUUUGUAUGGAUGUCUGACUACUACUGUUGUUCUCUAAAGGUUUUCUGGAAGCUCCAUUUGAGGGCAUCAAGGACAUACUGAUGGCCUAAACCAGUGUCAGCCUAGACAGACAGACAUCUAUUGUAGUUCUGCUACACAAGACCAAACUCUCUGCUUUUGUAUGGAUGUCUGACUAGUACAGUGUUCUCUAAAGGUAUAACUGGAGCAAAACAACAGCAUCCGUUACAGUGAAAUUUGUGUUCAUAAAAGAUAGUGAUAUGUGUAACAGGUCCAGUACAUUUGUCAUAAAGGUUAAAUCACAGUAAGUACUGUAAAAAUAACUUGUUUGCCUUUGCCACAACAGGUCAUGGUGUGUGCAUACUGCUCGUAGUAAACACACACGCUGAUCUGAUGCGGGAGAGAUAUACGCAAACACAUUUAUAUUUACUGUUUUGUUUUGCCUCACUAAAGUGUUGUUGGAGCUUGGUAUGUUCACAGUUGAAAUCACUGAAGUCACAUGGAACGUUUUGACAAUGUGUUUUGUGCCUUAUCUUGACAAUGACCAUCUUGGGACCAUUGCUGUCUGUA
Molecule: long non-coding RNA, 839 nt
Filed under: Danio rerio (zebrafish)
Lineage: Eukaryota; Metazoa; Chordata; Actinopteri; Cypriniformes; Danionidae
Description: si:ch73-142b20.1 (ENSDARG00000097335.3)
Source: RNAcentral